RNAcentral lists this ribosomal RNA (466 nucleotides) under uncultured bacterium. RNAcentral describes it as "partial 16S ribosomal RNA". It matches the Rfam family "Bacterial small subunit ribosomal RNA", at positions 28 to 507 of the family's 1533-position model. The record is from RNAcentral.
GAUGAACGCUGGCGGCGUGCUUAACACAUGCAAGUCGAACGGAAAGGCUCCUGCUUGCAGGGGUACUCGAGUGGCGAACGGGUGAGCAACACGUGGGUGAUCUGCCCUGCACUUCGGGAUAAGCCUGGGAAACUGGGUCUAAUACCGGAUAGGACGAUGGUUUGGAUGCCAUUGUGGAAAGUUUUUUCGGUGUGGGAUGAGCUCGCGGCCUACCAGCUUGUUGGUGGGGUAAUGGCCUACCAAGGCGUCGACGGGUAGCCGGCCUGAGAGGGUGUACGGCCACAUUGGGACUGAGAUACGGCCCAGACUCCUACGGGAGGCAGCAGUGGGGAAUAUUGCACAAUGGGCGCAAGCCUGAUGCAGCGACGCCGCGUGGGGGAUGACGGCCUUCGGGUUGUAAACUCCUUUCGCUAGGGACGAAGCGCAAGUGACGGUACCUGGAGAAGAAGCACCGGCUAACUACGUG